UAGGGAAUAUUGGGCAAUGGGCGGAAGCCUGACCCAGCCAUGCCGCGUGCAGGAAGAAGGCCUUCUGGGUUGUAAACUGCUUUUAUCUAGGAAGAAAAUACCCUUGCGAGGGGAACUGACGGUACUAGGUGAAUAAGCACCGGCUAACUCCGUGCCAGCAGCCGCGGUAAUACGGAGGGUGCAAGCGUUGUCCGGAUUUAUUGGGUUUAAAGGGUGCGUAGGCGGCUUAGUAAGUCCGUGGUGAAAGCCAACAGCUCAACUGUUGAACUGCCAUGGAUACUGCUAGGCUUGAGUACAGACGAGGUAGGCGGAAUUGAUGGUGUAGCGGUGAAAUGCAUAGAUACCAUCAAGAACACCGAUUGCGAAGGCAGCUUACUAGGCUGUAACUGACGCUGAGGCACGAAAGCGUGGGGAGCGAACAGG
Molecule: ribosomal RNA, 423 nt
Filed under: uncultured bacterium
Lineage: Bacteria
Description: bacterial SSU rRNA
Rfam family: Bacterial small subunit ribosomal RNA
Source: RNAcentral